AUGAAGGAGGUUGCAGAGGACGAGCAGAACAUGAACAAGAUGAAGGAGGUUGCACGGGAUGAGCAGAACAAGAAGAAGAUGAAGGAGGUUGCACAGGACGAGCAGAACAAGAAGAAGACAAAGGUGAAAAACAUGACGAUGACAAGGGAUGCUCUCCAGGAGGAGCAGCAGAAGAUGACGGUCCCGCUGGCAGAUGAGCAGAACAUUGAAGGUUCCAGGAAAAAAUUGAAGAGGGGUCGGCCCGUUUUUGUUGGGCAUAUACUCCAACCGAGUAAUGGAACAAAGUUUGUUAGCAUCCUCAUUCCUCCUCACCUAGAAUUAACCAUUCCUAUACCAAAGAAGUUUGGUGAGCGCCUAAGGUGUGGGAAGCUGGGGAACCGUACCGUUAACCUUCGUGUUUGCAGAAGUUGCUCCUGGUCAGUCAAGCUGACACUUCGGGUAGAGACAUGUUCCUCAGCGAGGGAUGGCUUCGUUUUUUGA
RNAcentral lists this ribosomal RNA (480 nucleotides) under Triticum aestivum (bread wheat). RNAcentral describes it as "partial small subunit ribosomal RNA". Lineage: Eukaryota; Viridiplantae; Streptophyta; Magnoliopsida; Poales; Poaceae. The record is from RNAcentral.